UCUGACACAGAGACCAGUAGAGGUGCUCUAGAGAACUCUGUCUGACACAGAGACCAGUAGAGGUGCUCUAGAGAACUCUGUCUGACACAGAGACCAGUAGAGGUGCUCUAGAGAACUCUGUCUGACACAGAGACCAGUAGAGGUGCUCUAGAGAACUCUGUCUGACACAGAGACCAGUAGAGGUGCUCUAGAGAACUCUGUCUGUCUGACACAGAGACCAGU
Oncorhynchus keta (chum salmon) is the source of this 222-nucleotide long non-coding RNA. RefSeq lists it as uncharacterized. The record is from RefSeq and is a predicted model, not a curated record. The transcript has 4 exons. NCBI's taxonomy places the organism in Eukaryota, Metazoa, Chordata, Actinopteri, Salmoniformes, Salmonidae.